ACGUAGCUCGGGGCUCAUUUAGCUUGAGUUCAGCACCGAUCGGGCUUUAUUACUCAGCCGACCAUUGCAGUGAGCAGUCAGAAGCCCGUCGUGUCUCUACCCGAGGCCGGAUGGUAAAAUCCAACCUCCAGCGGAUCUUAAACAGUCAUUGCUUUGCUCGCGAGAAAGAAGGAAAACCACAGUGCUUUACUACCAUGGCGGAUUUAAGUAAUAGUAUUUGUGACAUGAUUGGCAAUCUUUCCCUGCACUGUAGUAGUUCCCGUGGUCCGGGGCCUCUGUGGUGCUCCUGAUGCCCCUCUCCCACCCCUGAAGAUCCCAGGUGGGCGAGGUAAUGGUCAACGGGAUCACACUUCUUCAUCUCGGCCGUUCGACUCCAACUUGACGGUGACAGCGGAGCCGGCGGGGAACGGUCGCCCCGGGAUACUCCACUUCCAGAGCCGCCUCACUGUUUCCAGGGUGAUCAACUGGGACGCGGUGCUGAGUGGGAAUGCUCUGUAUGUGGAGAUACCCAUAGACCCCCUCCCCGAGGGCAGCAAGGAGAGUUUUGCGGCUCUCCUGGAGUAUGCAGAAGAAGAUCUUAAAGUUUUCCGCGUGUUCGUCUGCUUUUACAAGAACAGAGAUGAUCGUGCUAAACUUGUGCGCACAUUCAGCUUUCUGGGCUUUGAGAUAGUGAAACCGGGCCAUGCCGUUGUCCCACCUCGACCUGACGUUUUCUUCAUGGCCUACAACUUCGACAGGGACUCUUCCUCCGACGAGGAUUAGCUCUGACCCCUGUGGGGUGUUCCAGGAAGCAGAAUCAUCAUAUUAGCCAGUUAACUUUUGAUAAGCAGUCAAAUCUCUUGAUUUAAAAAAAGAAGUUUAACUUCAAUAAUGGGUUUGUUGGUUGUCAAGUCAGUCAUACAAAGUCUAUAUUUCUAGGAAUGAUUAAAUGAAUUCAUAAUAUUUAGUUAUGACAGUUGGAUGUCUAAGUAACACGUUGAUCCUGCUUUCUGGAAGAGCCAUGCCUAGCCUGCAUCCCAAAUAAUGAAAACUGCCGUUUUCGCUAUUGUCUCACUAACAGUUUCAAUGAAGAGAUGGUUCAGUCAGACUGAAGUCUGAAAGCCAGACUGAUGACCACAAUUGUGAAGUGAAGCAGUUGUGAAAGGGAGCAAUUUCAGUUUGGAUCCAGGCUAACCCCUGCCCCCUACCCAAUGCCCUACCCUCUCCUGUACCCCAGCCAAUCGACCACCUGACCCAAGUGCUUACAGCCUUCCAUGCUUUGUGUCAAAGGAAGCGGAUGAUUAGGAUGUGUAUCCCCUAGUUUCACAGCUCGGCUGAUAUUUGUUAAAUUCUUCAGUUCGGUUUCGUUGGUAUUUUGUUCAACACUUCAGAGGGAACCAUGUUUUUUAAGGACUUUGAGAAUAUUGCAAUUUUGUUGUCAUCAAUCAAUUGUCUAUUGCUAUUUUUUGUUCUUUAUUCUUGUUGCUAAAAAGAUGGAGGACUCGUCGUUAUUUCUUAAAUGUACAAAAACAGGUUGUCAGAAUUACACUUGGGUACUCCAACUUUUAAUUUGAUUGGCUAAGAUAUACCUUAGUCAUUGAAAUAAGAGCAUACGCUUUUAUUUAUUUGGCUAUAUUCAAUAUAAUCUUUUUAUUUCAUUGGUUAAGAUUAAAACAAAAAAACGUCAGCCCCACCUUUUAAUCUGACAAUUGUUUAGAUAUAGAGGCACUCGAUCUUCUGAAAAUGUUGUAAUGAUGUGUGUAAACAUUACUUUUGAGCAAAAACUGCCCCGAUAUUGGUACUUCAUGGCUGGAUAAUAGCUCUUUAGACUAGAAGUGUGUGUUGGAGAGCACAGGUGAAUGCUGUUUUGUGUGACUGGUUUGGGUGCAUUUGUGAUAAAUAUGUAAUAUGAUGGGUGAAUUGGUACAAAGCUUAAAAAAAAGGGGGGGGGGGAUCCAAAGUGCUUUUGCUUUUCUGUCUUGAUACCUGAACAUUAUUGUAGAGCAUCGUUUGGAUACAUGUGUUGUGAUGUCUGAUGGGAUAUUUGGACUAGCAUUCCUUUGAACUUAUUUUUAUUUUAAAUUCAAAAUUGUUUAUAAGUUUGAUGUGCAUCUUGCAUAGUGGUACCUAUUGUGCUUCUGUGACAAUAAAAUUAAGAAAAAUGCAAGUCUCAUCAUGA
Oncorhynchus mykiss (rainbow trout) is the source of this 2158-nucleotide RNA transcript. It is a transcript of the gene named ornithine decarboxylase antizyme 2-like, with no coding region annotated. The record is from RefSeq and is a predicted model, not a curated record. Lineage: Eukaryota; Metazoa; Chordata; Actinopteri; Salmoniformes; Salmonidae.